Molecule: long non-coding RNA, 182 nt
Organism: Gavia stellata (red-throated loon)
Lineage: Eukaryota; Metazoa; Chordata; Aves; Gaviiformes; Gaviidae
Exons: 3
Source: RefSeq, a predicted model, not a curated record
GCUGCGGGGAGGGGGACGUGCCCCACCGCCCCACUGCCUGCGAUGCCAAGCCCGAGGUCAUCGUCAAGGUGGAGCCGGAGGAGGAGUCGUUCCCGGGGUGCACCCGAGCUCUGGGUGACCCAGGAGCUGCCGGCCACCGCGGCGGCGCAGGCGGUGAGCAGCGUCCCAAGGAGGAGCCGGAG